This 745-nucleotide long non-coding RNA is filed under the name Trifolium pratense (red clover). RNAcentral describes it as "long non-coding RNA (TPRA_LNC000514)". The record is from RNAcentral. Lineage: Eukaryota; Viridiplantae; Streptophyta; Magnoliopsida; Fabales; Fabaceae.
GCCCCAUUUGGCACUUAAUAUAUAAACUUUCUUUUAAAAUCAUCGCUACUUCCACCAGAUCAAAUCAAAAUCAAUUUUCUCUUUUAAACCACACCAAAUAUUCAUUUUAUCAAAAACCAACCAAAUAUUCAUAUCCACAAUCAACCACAAAACACAUCAAUCAUAAAAUUACAUAUACAAUCAGCCACACACACAUACUCGAAAUGUAAUGAAAUAGCAUAGAGUUGUUAUAAAAAUAGUUCUUUCAUUCCUUCUAUUUUCAUUCCUUCUUAACGGUUAAAUAUUCCAUUAUUAAUCUAUAAAAUAAACCCUAUGUGCAUGAGUGUAUGGGGAAAAAGCCCUUACCUUGGCCGAUUUCCUUCCAAGCACAAUACUCUAGGCCUAAAUUCGUAGCUACAAUGUACACUGGAUAUAUCUCACUUCAAAGUUCAUUUCGACAAUCCGACGGUUGAAAAUGGAGUACUAUGUGUCAAGAAGCUACUGUCCAAAAAUAAAUAUGAUCCAACGGUGAACGAAGGAGAAAUCAAUAUUUUACGAUGACAGCUUUUGAAAAAACGAAAAUAGGUUGAUUGAAUUGGAACUUUCAUGAAUCAAAUAAAAAUGGAAUAGAUAGACUAAUAAAAGAGGACUUACACAAUUUGAAUUGAAGGAGAAUGAAACUAAAAACAAAGCUUGAUAAUCAUUUGAAUUAUAAAGGGAGUUGUAAGAGUAUAAAAUGUUUGUUUUGUGGAAGCUAGGUAGGNNN